This 364-nucleotide long non-coding RNA is filed under the name Nicotiana benthamiana. RNAcentral's name for it is "long non-coding RNA (NBEN_LNC022113)". The record is from RNAcentral. Lineage: Eukaryota; Viridiplantae; Streptophyta; Magnoliopsida; Solanales; Solanaceae.
ACCGCUUGUUACGAUUGGAAGUUCUGUCAAUGCUACAGUCAUCACUGAUACCAUAGAAUGUGGUAAUGCUUAAUUAAUCACAACUCCAAAUGGGCCACCAUUCACGAUCAGAUCUCUAGAAGUGGGGAAUGUUAGUGCUCAUACUGGUACAUGAAAAAAGCUGGACCUAAGUCCUAGUCCCUCAAUUACUCAAGGAAACUCAAGUAACUCUAUGGAGAAAACGAUCAAUAGAGAGACCAGCACAUGCACAGGCUCGAUUGUAAAUAAUCAGACUCGAAUAAAGCCAAUUGCAGAGGAGAAAGUAAGUCCGUCUUGGUGAAACUCUUUGCGAAAAUAGAUCUGCAGAAAAUGGUAUGAACUUAUU